GCGGUUGUGGUUUAGCGGUAGAGCAUUUGGUUUGCCUACAAAGAGGUCCAGGUUCAAUCCCUGCCAUCUGCA
RNAcentral lists this transfer RNA (72 nucleotides) under Sphaerodactylus townsendi. Its description in RNAcentral is "tRNA-Ala". It matches the Rfam family "tRNA". Rfam says of the family: Transfer RNA (tRNA) molecules are approximately 80 nucleotides in length. The record is from RNAcentral. Lineage: Eukaryota; Metazoa; Chordata; Lepidosauria; Squamata; Sphaerodactylidae.